GCGCGCUUAUGUCAGUGGUAGACGAUUUGACUUCGGUUCAAAAGGUCACAGGUUCGAACCCUGUAGCGCGCU
Molecule: non-coding RNA, 72 nt
Organism: Tilletia walkeri
Lineage: Eukaryota; Fungi; Basidiomycota; Exobasidiomycetes; Tilletiales; Tilletiaceae
Source: Rfam